This 67-nucleotide ribosomal RNA is filed under the name Rourea minor. Its description in RNAcentral is "partial 28S ribosomal RNA". Lineage: Eukaryota; Viridiplantae; Streptophyta; Magnoliopsida; Oxalidales; Connaraceae. The record is from RNAcentral.
UCGGCGAGGGGCAAUCGCAACGAUUGCGACCCCGGGUCAGGCGGGGGCUACCCGCUGAGUUUAAGCA